GAUGAACGCUAGCGGCAGGCUUAACACAUGCAAGUCGAGGGGUAGAGGAAGCUUGCUUCCUUGAGACCGGCGCACGGGUGCGUAACGCGUAUACAAUCUACCUUUUACAGAGGGAUAGCCCAGAGAAAUUUGGAUUAAUACCUCGUAGUAUUUUCGAAUCGCAUGGUUUGAUUAUUAAAGUUCCAACGGUAAAAGAUGAGUAUGCGUCCCAUUAGCUAGAUGGUAAGGUAACGGCUUACCAUGGCAAUGAUGGGUAGGGGUCCUGAGAGGGAGAUCCCCCACACUGGUACUGAGACACGGACCAGACUCCUACGGGAGGCAGCAGUGAGGAAUAUUGGACAAUGGGCGCAAGCCUGAUCCAGCCAUGCCGUGUGCAGGAAUAAGGUCCUAUGGAUUGUAAACUGCUUUUAUACAGGAAGAAACACACCCUCGUGAGGGUACUUGACGGUACUGUAUGAAUAAGGACCGGCUAACUCCGUGCCAGCAGCCGC
RNAcentral lists this ribosomal RNA (491 nucleotides) under uncultured bacterium. RNAcentral describes it as "bacterial SSU rRNA". It matches the Rfam family "Bacterial small subunit ribosomal RNA", at positions 28 to 518 of the family's 1533-position model. The record is from RNAcentral.